This is a long non-coding RNA of Liolophura sinensis, 5295 nucleotides long. RefSeq lists it as uncharacterized. NCBI's taxonomy places the organism in Eukaryota, Metazoa, Mollusca, Polyplacophora, Chitonida, Chitonidae. The record is from RefSeq and is a predicted model, not a curated record. The transcript is spliced from 3 exons.
GAGAUUGAAGGAAACAGAUGACCAUCCGUAGAUUGUUGGAAGAGAUUACCACGUAUGGAAAGGAAGAUGAGAUGAGCUGGAUUCCGCGUAGUGAUAUUGAAUUAGAAAUACUUACAUUUUAAUGUAGGCCUGUUUAGGUAUUCUUGCUUUGUUUGUGCCUUAUUUUAGCAAAAGUUUGCAAAUGCAGUAUUAAGAGAGGAACUGAAGGUAGUGGAGUCAGCCCAGCAACAGAGCGAUGCAAUCCUGCAUGAGUUUACAGAUCUUUGGAAAGCCAUGAGGCAAAGUAAAGUUUCAGAUUUACGAGAGGCCUUUGUUUUUACCCUGAACCGAAUUCAUCAGUGUCUGGAAAUAACAGAGGAGAUUGGGCACUUGUCACAGAAUUCAGAUGAUUUUCCCAAGAAGGACACGGUGCAUAGGUCCCUGGAUAUGGAGAUUGCAAUGCUAGGACAGGAAAGCACUGAAAAAGGAAAGCUUAACUGAAAUAUGUGCACAACAUCUACCUACCUCUCACAGCAGAACCAGGAGAAAGACUAUGAUGUAUUUAGCUUUUGCUUCAAAGGAAGACUUCCUCAGUGAAAUAUCUCGCGUCUCACGAACAUGACUGAGUGGAUCCCAACUUUCAGGAAUAAAAAUCCCAUCACGUUCGUCACUAGCUGCAGAUGUGGUUUUUCUUUCAGAAGUUGUAGAGUGAGCUAUAAGUCAAGCAGACGGUCAGUUGUGUAGGUAUGUGGAUUGUUCUCUGCAGUUUGUAUCCAGGGAUUCUUGUCUGGAUGUCAUAACUUUGGAAUUAUCGGUGAAGUCUGCAGUGUAUAACUGUAGAAUUGACUGUGGAGAUUGUAACUAAGCAUACGUGUUUAGAGUAUGUGACUGUGGAAAUAUCUGUGGAGAUUGUAACUGUGGAAUGAUAUCUGAAGUCUAUGUGUGGAUUUACCUCUGUGGUUUGUAACUAAGCAUUCAUGUUUAGAUUAUGUAACUAUGGAAAUAUCUGUGGAGAUUGUAACUGUGGAAUGAUAUCUGAAGUCUGUGCGUGGAUUUACCUCUGUGGUUUGUAACUAAGCAUUCAUGUCUAGAUUAUGUAACUAUGGAAAUAUCUCCGAAGUCUGUAAGUGUGGAUUUACCGCUAGUUUGUAACCAUGUGUUAACGUUUGGUGUUUGUAGCUCUGGAAUCAUCACUGGAAUUUGUAAAUGUGGACUUACCUCUGGAAUUUGUAAAUAGAGAUAAGUUGAAAAAUAACAAUACAGAGCAAAUGGCUGUUGUGAAUUGGGACAGUCAUCUGAUCUUGAUAAUUGUAUCUAAUCAAACAUGCCGCUAUUAAAUUGCGCAAAGUAAGCUGUGAUACAGCCUUUACCCGUUCACUCCAUGAAUUGAAGGUUGUAACACAAAACUUCUACAUUAGACAUCAUUUUGAGAUCUUUUACAAUACUUUAGUUACGUGUAAUGGUAGGGGUGUGGUUCACGUACCCUGGGAUAUCCAUCCUCAUCCAGGAAGUUGUCAUUUGUGUUGGUGAAUGUUGCUAGUAUUCUAUUGAUAUUAUCUUUGGCGAUAAAAAUGCAUGAUUGAAAAAGCCAGGACAUUUUGUUCAAGCCUUAUGCCAAUGUCUUAUAUGUACAUCAGCAUCAGCCCGGUUUACCACAAUAAAAUGGUCAGUCCGGACACUUUGUAUAGGUGUGGUCAGCUGUGAACAUUAAAAUAAGAAUUACUCACACUGAAAUUGGACAAGACAGGCCGGGUUUACUGUAACAGAGGUUGCCUCAAGUGCUAAAACGAUUACCAUUUCGACAUAUGUUUUAUGUGUUGUCAUGGUCAAUACGCCAGGCACAUAUACAUUUAGGUACAGGAGAUUAGUAGGCACAAUCAACUGUUUUCCAUUUCGAAACUUUACAAAACAUCCUGCAGGUGUGAAUAGGACCCAGCAAUGACUAAGCACCACAACAAAUAUAAUAUAUAAAAAUUGUAAAAAAAGGCGAAGUCACCCAGGGCAAAGUUAGAUGUGAACAAGGCUGUGAUUUUUAUUGGUGGAAAAUAAACCACACCUUCCCGAUUACCUGACUAACAGAAGUACUCAGCAGCAGUCAAAACCAACCAGCUGUAUUCACAUUUCCGACCACUUUGGACCUUGACGAGUUAUGUCUGGCAGAAUGUUGUUCAGCCAAAUGGACGGCUCUGAAUCAAUGUAGGAAUGCAUUUAGUAACGACUCAAAUGCAACUCAUUUUUGUGUUUUGCUGAACCAACUCCAAAAAUUCUGAAUUUUUUUAGGUAGUACCUCCCAGUAAGUGUAAGCACAAAUUGUAAAACCAGAUUUCACCUACGACUCGGUACAUACGCUAUGGACAUCUUAGCCCGUUUCACAUCACAUGCGGAGUGAACUGCAGAAAGGGGCAUGUAGCGGUUUGCUUGUUUUGAUUGGGCACAAUGCAAUCUGUCACAAUGGUGUAGCCCAAGUCAUCAGCACAGCUGUAGUGAGACCAAGUGAACCAGCAAGGACCAUUGUGUAUCAGAAUGAAAUGUAAAAUUAGGUUGAUCGCUCAUCAUGCUCAAACUGUCCUAUUAAUUCUCAAGAUCACAGUAUAUUUUUUUGAUGUUUCACCUAUAUGACGGUGGCCAGCAGGAAUCACAGCAGACGCAAGGAACAAAUAACAAAAGAAACAUGGACUUCAUAGUAUUAUAUUUUGACAGGUCCAAACAUCCAUAUUUGUAGACUUGUGUACUAGCCCAAAACUUCUCAUAAAACUCAGCAAAACGUGUCAUUGUGUCCCAUUUACUGACAUCUCAAAUUCCUACAACGCUUUACUUCUGUAUUAUACAUAUACAUCUAGAACACCUUACACCUGGAAAUGCAUCACUCUAAACAAGCUACAAUCAUAGAUAGUAAAUACUCAAAAAGAAAACCUGUGUUAAAAUACAGUUGACAUACAAGUAUAACAUUCAUUUGUGAAAAAUAUCCACAAUAAAUAUUGAGAUUAAAUGAAUGUGUUUCCUGUGUUAUCUGAUCUCCCUGGAAUUGAAACAUUUUAGAUCUUUGACAAUGAUUAUCUUUAUAAUGCACACCUUGCCUGACCAGUGAUGAGGAAAAAUGGAAGAUGACGAUGAGCAUGGGGUUUAUCGGGGCCUCUGCUUUACUCUGACAAUGUGGCACAUGCCAAAGGGUUUCUGGGGGACAUCUUUCUUCCUGUGACAAUGUGACAAAAGGUGAGGGGUUACUGAUCUCCUCUGCUUUCCUGUGACAAUGUGACACAAGCUUAAGGGUUAUUGGGGACCUCUGUGUUAAUUGGACGUGAUAAGGGUUUCAAGGGACAUCCUCCUUCCUCUGACAAUGUGACAAAAGGGGAGAGGUUACUGGGGACCUCUGUUUCUCUGACAAGGUGACACAUGCUAAAGGGUUCCUAGGGACAUCUUUCUUUGUCUGACAACGUGACCAAAGGUGAGAGGUUACUCGGGACCUCUGCUUUCCUCUGACAACACCUGCUAAGGGGUUGCUGGGGACCUUCCUUUUUCUACAAUGUGACACUCAGGGAACCUCUACUUAAGACAAUGACAUACACACUAAGUGGUGAGUGGGGGACCUCUGUCUUCCUUUAACAAUGCGGCAUCUGUUGAGAAUGUUUCAUUUCAUGAUGUUCUAAGUUUCUGUACAUGAAGGCGUAUAUUAUCAGAUCCCACACAUUCCUAGAAAUCAUGAGGGACAGGGGGCAGGGAUUGGGUUCAAGGUGCAGAUUUUUGAAGCAUGAUUCACAAUUUUCAAGUCCUGUCCCUUCCAAAAUGACAUAGCCAGGGAUAUGCUUAUAUGCAACACACACUCACUGUUUAGAUAGUUUCAUUUCUACAUGGCCAAACUGAUUUGCUAAACAAACCAAAUUCAAAGCAGUUUAAGAAGUGUUUGCUUUGUUACUUUCGACACCUUGCAUCAGUUAAUUGUGCAUAUUUGACUGUUUAUUAUAAACUUUUUACCCAUUGCUAAUGCUGACCCACAACCCCCACCACCCCCCGUUAUUUUACUGACGUCAAAUGUUCCUUUCCUAGCUCACCAUGAUAACGUCAUAUCAAAGAAAGAAAAUUGUAACAGUAGAAACUGUUACAUUGCAACAUUGCAGAUGUUGCACUAAGAUCAAUUUUUGUCGUAACUAUUUGGCUUCAUGUCCUGCGGCAUACUAGUGCUACAUCUUCCAUGAAUAAUGGGACUGAAACAUAAGCCGCUUCCCUCAUUGUUUGGGUGCUCGUCUGUCAGAAAAGUCCUGCUGAAAAGUACAACUGCACAUUUAGCUGUACGUUAUUUGUUACAGUUUGAUUUUAAAAAUAAGACUGUAAUUCAACAACUUUGAUUUUGGCAUCAAUCACCAGCCCAUUUCAGCAUCAAAAUCCGACUAAUUCUCCAUUGAGCAUGGAGCUUGCACAAAAUGCAAGACGAUGUUAAUAGCUUUGUUUUAUCACGUGUCUAGUACAUAUAACACACUAAGUCAAAAUUUAAUCUGGAAUUCUUACUACGCUAUUGGACAUGCUGUGCUAGAGAAACCGAAAAGAAAUGAUGUUGCAUCACUCUUAUCUUUGGCUCAUAUUGCUAAAGGGCAAAGUAGUGUCUGCACGACGACCGUAGAAAAAGGUUGGUGCUCGGAUUACAGAAACAAGUCGUUCCUUGUUGGUUUAAAUUGAUAAGAUGGCGCUGCCUUUGAUUUUCCCACAGUGCACAAUUUUGCUCACUUUGAGCUGCUAAAGUUCGGAGUCUGCGGGAUACUUUGUCUUUGCUCAAAUUUGGUCGUGGCAGUAUCAUUUAAGGGAGGCAGUGUUGCCCACCAGAUUGAAAAGUGGCCGUGGAGGUGAUGCCACCCAUCAGACUGACAGACUGACUAACUGAUUAUGGGUUACUUCCAGCACAUUUCCUCAGACACGAAUUGCCAAAUGAUUGCAGCUGCUAUCUGAUUAUUUCUGGUGAAUUUUGCUUUUCUUGGCCCCUCUAUUAAUGUGGUCAGUGCUUACAAUGUCUUAAUUCAGCUUUUAUGCUUACCAACUUUUUUAGCUCUCAAUAGUUAACGUGUAUUAUCACAAAUGAGAUACCUGUGUACAGCAAUGUCAUGCUGAAAACAGUGAGACAAAAGAAAUGUGACGAUGUCAAGGGAAAAUGCUUGUGACAGUGGCAGCUUUGAGUGUCACUAUUAAAAGGGUAUGAAUGAAGGACCAGCUGUGAGAGUCUGCAAAAUAGUACCCAUGUCUCCAGGAGACGUGAGGUAGCAAAAGACUGUAAUGAUUGUUUCUGACAAGACAUGAAUGUAAGUGAGGGGGAAGAAAAGGUGUCAUGGG